AAAAUACGUUGCUUUUUGCAAUUGUUAUAAACGAUUUAUCAAAAAGUUGGCCGAUUAUUCACGUCACAUAACAAGAUUAUCUAAAAGAACUUUAAAUUUGAAUGGACAGUAUUCCGAUUUCGAAAAAGAAUUUUGUAUAACAACUGAUGCAAGUAAACAAGCAUAACCAUCAGCCAUCAAAAAAAAUCCUGCGUAGGAAAUGAACAAUUAGACUUGCCAGAGCAAUCUAUUGUCAACGCUUCUAAGCCCAAGUUAUAUGAAGUCAUAACAAAUGAAGUACGUAAAGUAGUGACCUUGCGAAUAACCGAAUCCAUAUGUUUAUUGAAACAUGGAAAUAAAGUGUUUCGAGAAUUGAUGUUACACCAAUGGAAUUCUAGACUUAGGUCAGUUCUUCCAAAGGCUUGAAACGCAAUCCGGUAUACUUAAGAUCAGCCAAAAAUAUUUUAAAUACAUUAAGAGUAGCGCUACUCAAGCCGGUGAUCCUAAUAAAUAAUACAAAAGAUCAAGAAGCGAUUCUGUUUACCAAUCAUGACGAUCCGAUACAAGGCGGUCAAAAACAUUGACAGUGACAGUGAACACAAUUGGUCCACUACCGAAAUCUGAGUAUGGCAAUGAAUACGCACUCACUUUGAUCUGUGACCUAACAAAAUAUUUAGUUGCCAUUCCAAUUGCCAAUAAAAGUGUAAUUGCACUAAAUCGCUAAACCAA
Molecule: long non-coding RNA, 708 nt
Organism: Drosophila teissieri
Lineage: Eukaryota; Metazoa; Arthropoda; Insecta; Diptera; Drosophilidae
Exons: 2
Source: RefSeq, a predicted model, not a curated record